RNAcentral lists this ribosomal RNA (253 nucleotides) under uncultured bacterium. RNAcentral's name for it is "partial 16S ribosomal RNA". It matches the Rfam family "Bacterial small subunit ribosomal RNA", at positions 524 to 776 of the family's 1533-position model. The record is from RNAcentral.
UACGUAGGGUGCAAGCGUUGUCCGGAAUUAUUGGGCGUAAAGAGCUCGUAGGCGGUUUGUCGCGUCGGCUGUGAAAUCCCGAGGCUCAACCUCGGGCCUGCAGUCGAUACGGGCAAACUAGAGUGUGGUAGGGGAGACUGGAAUUCCUGGUGUAGCGGUGAAAUGCGCAGAUAUCAGGAGGAACACCGGCGGCGAAGGCGGUUCUCUGGGCAUUACCUGACGCUGAGGAGCGAAAGUGUGGGGAGCGAACAGG